Molecule: ribosomal RNA, 245 nt
Filed under: uncultured archaeon
Lineage: Archaea
Description: partial 16S ribosomal RNA
Rfam family: Archaeal small subunit ribosomal RNA
Source: RNAcentral
UACCCGCGCCCCGAGUUGUGACCUCGAUUAUUGGGCUUAGAGCGUUCGUAGCCGGUUCGAUAAGUUUCUGGUGAAAUCUGGCAGCAAACUGUCAGGCAUGCUAGGGAUACUGUUGAACUUGGGACCGGGAGAGGCUGAGGGUAUUCUUGGGGUAAGGGUAAAAUCUUCUAAUCCCAAGAGGACCACCUGUGGCGAAGGCGCUCAGCUGGAACGGAUCCGACGGUGAGGGACGAAAGCGUGGGGAG